UUUAAUUUUAAACAAGAAUGUGUCCAAAGUACACGGAUGCCCCACUCCCACUAUCAUUUUCCAUGUUCAAUGGACCGUGAAAUUGGAUAAAAAAUAUAAUUAGGCAUUAAAAUUAGAAAGAUAAUAUCAUAGGGAAUAUGUGUACUAAGUUUCAAGUUGAUUGGACUUCAACUUCAUCAAAAACUACCUUGACCAAAAACUUUAACCUGAAACAUGCACUUUCAUUUUCUAUGUUCAGUGGACCGUGAAAUUGGGGUCAAAAGUUUAAUUUGGCUUUAAAAUUAGAAAGAUCAUAUCAUAAGGAACAUGUGUACUAAGUUUCAAGUUGAUUGGACUUCAACUUCAUCAAAAACUACCUUGACCAAAAACUUUAACCUGAAGCGGGACAGACGGACGAACGAACGGACGAACGAACGAACGAACGGACAGACGGACGGAC
RNAcentral lists this long non-coding RNA (439 nucleotides) under Mytilus galloprovincialis (Mediterranean mussel). Lineage: Eukaryota; Metazoa; Mollusca; Bivalvia; Mytilida; Mytilidae. The record is from RNAcentral.